CAUGAAGCUGGAAUCGCUAGUAAUCGCGGAUCAGAAUGCCGCGGUGAAUACGUUCCCGGGUCUUGUACACACCGCCCGUCACACCAUGGGAGUCGGGAAUGCCCGAAGCCGGUGACCGAACCGCAAGGACGGAGCCGUCGAAGGCAGAUUCGAUAACUGGGGUGAAGUCGUAACAAGGUAUC
RNAcentral lists this ribosomal RNA (182 nucleotides) under uncultured bacterium. RNAcentral describes it as "partial 16S ribosomal RNA". It matches the Rfam family "Bacterial small subunit ribosomal RNA", at positions 1319 to 1500 of the family's 1533-position model. The record is from RNAcentral.